Molecule: long non-coding RNA, 1097 nt
Organism: Varanus komodoensis (Komodo dragon)
Lineage: Eukaryota; Metazoa; Chordata; Lepidosauria; Squamata; Varanidae
Exons: 2
Source: RefSeq, a predicted model, not a curated record
AUCGCGGUCUUUCAGUGGUAAUUGAGCCCUACAUUAGGGUUGGGAGUAUGCACCAGGGUAGGGUUAAGGUUUGGCAAAAUUGGUCUCCUGGCAUCAUUCUGAUGGUUGAAAUGUGUUCAGAGUGGGCAGAAAUGAUGAGCUGUGCAGAAAAAGCUACUCAAGCAGUGCCUUUUCAAAAUCGCGGUCUUUCAUUGGGAAUUGAGCCCUGUAUUAGGGUUGGGAAUAUGCACCAACUUUGGGUUAGGGUUAGACAAAAUUGGUGUCCUGGCUAUAUUUGGGUGGUUGGAAUGUGUUUAGAGUGGGCAGAAAUCAAGAUCUGCCCAAAACAAGCUACUCAAGUAGUGCUUUUCCAAAAUCGCUGUCUUUCAUUGGUAAUUGAGCCCUAAAUUAGGGUUGGGAGUAUGCACCAGGGUAGGGUUAGGGUUAGACCAAAUUGGUGUCCUGGCAUGAUUUUGAACUUUGGAAUGUGUUUAGAGUUGGCAGAAAUGAUGAGCUGUGCAGAAAAAGCUACUCAAGCAGUGACUUUUCAAAAUCGCUGUCUUUCAUUGGUAAUUGAGCCCUACAUUAGUGUUGGGAACAUGCACCGAGGUAUGGUUCGGGUUAGAAAAAAUUUGUGUGCUGGCAUGAUUCUGAUGGUUGGAAUGUGUUUAGAGUUGGCAGAAAGGAUGAGAUGCGCAGAAGAAGCUACUCAAGCAGUGCAUUUUCAAAAUCGCAGUCUUUCAUUGGUAAUUGAGCCCUAAAUUAGGGUUGGGAGUAUGCACCAGGGUAGGGUUGGGGUUAGACAAAAUUGGUGUCCUGGCAUGAUUUUGAUGGUUGGAAUGCGUUUAGAGUUGGAAGAAAAGAUUAGAUGUGCAGAAAAAGCUACUCAAGCAGUGCAUUUUCAAAAUCGCUGUCUUUCAUUGGUAAUUGAGCCCUACAUUAGGGUUGGGAAUAUGCACCAAGGUAGGGUUAGGGGUAGACAAAAUUGGUGUCCUGGCAUGAUUUUGAUGGUUGGAAUGUGUUUAGAGUUGGCAGAAAAGAUGAGGUGCGCAGAAAAAGUUCCUCAAGCAGUGCUUUUUGAAAAUCGCUGUCUUUCAUUGGUAAUUGAGCCCUACAUU